GUGCUUGCUUCAGCAGCGCAUAUACUAAAAUUGGAACGAUACCAAGAAGAUUAGCAUAGUCCCUGAGCAAGGGUGACACACAAUAAAUUAGGAGUUUGAGUUUAAC
RNAcentral lists this small nuclear RNA (106 nucleotides) under Physeter macrocephalus (sperm whale). Lineage: Eukaryota; Metazoa; Chordata; Mammalia; Artiodactyla; Physeteridae. The record is from RNAcentral.